UAAAGUUGAAUGGCUGCGUUCUAACGCG
RNAcentral lists this non-coding RNA (28 nucleotides) under Bombyx mori (domestic silkworm). The record is from RNAcentral. Lineage: Eukaryota; Metazoa; Arthropoda; Insecta; Lepidoptera; Bombycidae.